GAAAUGCGAUAAGUAAUGUGAAUUGCAGAAUUUAGUGAAUCAUCGAAUCUUUGAACGCAUAUUACGCCUCUUGGUAUUCCGGGGGGCAUGCCUGUUCGAGCGUUAUUAGCAAUAUUCAAGCUUUGCUUGAUAUUGGGUUACACUAGUAAUAGCUAACUCUAAAACAAGUGAUAUUGCCGUUAGGUUUCAAGCAUAGUAAAUUUCUUGCUUGGGGACUUUGUGGUUAAAAAUCAUUAAUUCUAAAUUUUUAAGGUUAACCUCGAAUCAGGUAGGAAUACCCGCUGAACUUAA
Molecule: unclassified non-coding RNA, 291 nt
Filed under: uncultured Ascomycota
Lineage: Eukaryota; Fungi; Ascomycota
Description: sequence contains ITS1
Rfam family: 5.8S ribosomal RNA (bases 1-105)
Source: RNAcentral